Alosa sapidissima (American shad) is the source of this 2482-nucleotide RNA transcript. It is a transcript of the gene named CD48 antigen-like, with no coding region annotated. The record is from RefSeq and is a predicted model, not a curated record. The transcript has 9 exons. NCBI's taxonomy places the organism in Eukaryota, Metazoa, Chordata, Actinopteri, Clupeiformes, Clupeidae.
UCCCGCCUCCCCCACCCCCAUUUACAGGAAACAAUUCUUCAACAUUUAGUAUACGGUUGUGUUCAGAAUGUCGAUGAGGAUUUUGUGCUGUUUCUUUCAGCUGGCCUUCGCACUUCAUACAGCUGGGUUUCUUAAGUCCUCUGUGUUCAGACCAACUGGAGGAUCUGUCACUCUGGAGUUCCAGCAACACCAGCAGCCGGAGAAGGAGCAGAUAGAUAUUGUUUUUUGGGAAUAUGGCCCAAAUACAACAUUGAAAUAUGUACCCCACAAAGACACUGUUACAGUAUUCACCCAUAAAGGCAGAGUGGAGUUUAAUAAGGAGACCUUCUCUAUGGAGCUGAAGAACCUGCAGAAGAGUGACAGUGGACUCUACAGAGGAAAGAUCAGUGCUGGGACGGAAGUUAUAGUUGAGCACACACUCUCUGUGCUGGAUCCAGUGGAGAUCCCCGUCCUGUCUGUUGUCUCUAACUGGUCCAGCAGUGACUCAUGUAAUGUGACAGUGACCUGUAGAGGUCGUGACCACUCUCUGAACUCCACCUGUGAUAUCAGAACCUGCUCUAUAAAGGAAGAGAACUCCAUAGACUCCACCCUCUCACUCUCUGUCAGAGAUGCUCUUAUCAGCUGUAACUAUAGCAACACAGUGAGCUGGAGAACUGACAAGACACAGAUUGAACUACUGUGUCCUUUUUAUGAAGAACAAACUGUGGCUCAUUCAGAAAACUCAAACAUGGUUAUUGGGAUUGUUGUACCUGGUGCACUCAUCUGUGUUCUUUCUAUGGCUGUAUGGAGGUGGAGAAAAUCAAGUACGUGCAGGCAGAUAGAAGCCUCACAAACCACGUAUGCCACGGUUGAGCGUCAACAAAAAACACCCAGUGGAGGAGAAGCAGCACAUCAGGGUUCUCCUCUGACCUCAAAGCCAUUGCCCAACACACUCUACAGCACUGUAGUGCACCCCCUUAAGCCUGUCUCAGCUGGUGAGAACCAAGAGAAAUUUCCAGUUCAAGAGUCUGAUGUCACCAUCUACAGUACAGCACAGUGAAUCAGACUAAUGCUGUGGUUAGGGAGACAUAACUUCUCAGUGUCAUAAAAACUGUAGUGUGUAGUAAACCCCAUCUACAGACAAGUGGAACAUUUGGCCACACACAGCUUGAGCGGAUUACACCAAUAGAGCAUACUUAUCCAAUAAAGCCUUCAUUUGGGAAUUAACUCUUUUAAAUGAAGCUCAUAACGGACAUGAAUUCUCAGGGAACAUAGAACUACAGUAUGUCUUAGAGCAACACACGAUUGAUAUAAUAUUGAUAAUUGAUAUAAUUUUAAUUUCUUGUGUGAUCUGCCUUUUCUAUGUGUGUUCAUCUCUGAACUAAUUGUGUCUUGUCAAAUGAGGAAGGUAUGUGCCCACUGUGUGUGUGUGCUUUGAAGGUACAGUCAGCAAUUACGCAGGAAGUCUUGUUUUUUAUGUUUAUAUUUAAAUUUGUUAGCAGACUGUUUCGUACAAAACAACGUACAUUAUAUUUUAACCAAGGAUCACCAGAGAGUUAGCUCACCCCUUCCUUCGGUACUCCACACAGGGUUUCGUUUUUUUUUGUUAGGGUGUUACGGCUGUAUGUGUUGUAUGAUGUAUGUUUGUUCCAGUGCUGUUUGUCCCUGUUUUCUCCCCUCCUCUCUACCUCUGCUCCGGUGCUCUGCUUGUAACGACCUUGAUUGGCAGCACCUGGCUUGGUGAUUCAUUGGGAGUUAAAGGCUCCAGGAUCCAGUUCCCGAAGAGAGGCUUUUGGUGUGGGGACUGCUGGCUGUCUUGCUGUCUCUCAGCCUGGGAUAUUGUCUCGUCUUUUGAUUUGGACUUUGUGUCAUGUCUAUGUAGUGUUUUGUUAUGGUGUAUCUUGAUGUAAUAAAUCCCACUGGUUGGGUACAUUUUAAAAGGUGUUCUUGUUAUUUAUUAGGAUUUGGGGUCAGUGGUGGGUUUUUGUUCACCGCUAAAGGGCAACGUAAAGGUGGGGUGUAACAUUGGGGGACAGGCUGCCCCCACUUUGUUCCCAGUUUUUGGAACCUGCCUACAGAGACUGGGUUGUUUUUACAGUGUAGGCCUACUCAUGGAAUGGGCAGCUAGCGGAUCAUGAGGAGAUAAUUGCUAAGCGUACAAUUGCUACAACUUUAACCAAAAGAAAAUAAUUAAUGUGGAGUUUAUUGUUUAUUUUAUAUUUUCCAUGCACCAAUAAGUGAAAAGUCUGUAGUCUGUAGUUUCAUUGCUUCUAAGCAUAAUUCUAAUUGCAGAUGGCUUGCCUUAUCUUAUUAACGUUAAAUCUGCUUGCCAUGGAUGCACACACUGCCAGGUCAUGGAGCAACGGCAAGUAGCCUAUCGAACGUUCCUCAAGUUUAUCCAGUGUGUUAUCAAAUGCUUCAUUAAAUUGUACGAGUUCCCCCUUAACACACAAUGUUACUUAUACCGGUGUUGGAGUGUUUCGAUUCACAGUUCUAGGCCUGG